AUACGGAAGGUCCAGGCGUUAUCCGGAUUUAUUGGGUUUAAAGGGAGCGUAGGCGGGAUAUCAAGUCAGCUGUGAAAUGUAGAUGCUCAACAUCUGCACUGCAGUUGAAACUGGUGUUCUUGAGUGCGUAAGAGGUAGGCGGAAUUCGUCGUGUAGCGGUGAAAUGCAUAGAUAUGACGAAGAACUCCGAUUGCGAAGGCAGCUUACUGGGCCGCAACUGACGCUGAAGCUCGAAGGUGCGGGUAUC
RNAcentral lists this ribosomal RNA (247 nucleotides) under uncultured bacterium. RNAcentral describes it as "partial 16S ribosomal RNA". It matches the Rfam family "Bacterial small subunit ribosomal RNA", at positions 523 to 769 of the family's 1533-position model. The record is from RNAcentral.